Molecule: ribosomal RNA, 300 nt
Filed under: uncultured Thermovibrio sp.
Lineage: Bacteria; Pseudomonadati; Aquificota; Aquificia; Desulfurobacteriales; Desulfurobacteriaceae
Description: bacterial SSU rRNA
Rfam family: Bacterial small subunit ribosomal RNA
Source: RNAcentral
GCAGACACCGGGGCAGCGGCCGGGGUGUUGCGUAGGGUGGGGGGGUUGUCCGGAAUUAUGGGGCGGAAAGGGCUCGUAGGCGGUUGGGUCAGUCGGGAGUGAAAACUCGGAGCUUAACGCCGAGCCUGCUUCCGAUACGGGCCGACUAGAGUGAUGCAGGGGAGAACGGAAUUCCGGGUGUAGCGGUGAAAUGCGCAGAUAUCAGGAGGAACACCGGUGGCGAAGGCGGUUCUCUGGGCAUUACCUGACGCUGAGGAGCGAAAGUGUGGGGAGCGAACAGGAUUAGAUACCCUUGUAGUC